RNAcentral lists this ribosomal RNA (253 nucleotides) under uncultured bacterium. RNAcentral describes it as "partial 16S ribosomal RNA". It matches the Rfam family "Bacterial small subunit ribosomal RNA", at positions 524 to 776 of the family's 1533-position model. The record is from RNAcentral.
UACAGAGGUCUCAAGCGUUGUUCGGAUUCAUUGGGCGUAAAGGGUGCGUAGGUGGCGGGGUAAGUCAGGUGUGAAAUUUCGGAGCUUAACUCCGAAACUGCAUUUGAUACUGCCUUGCUUGAGGACUGGAGAGGAGACUGGAAUUCACGGUGUAGCGGUGAAAUGCGCAGAUAUCAGGAGGAACACCGGUGGCGAAGGCGGGUCUCUGGGCCGAUACUGACGCUGAGGAGCGAAAGCGUGGGGAGCGAACAGG